RNAcentral lists this ribosomal RNA (370 nucleotides) under uncultured organism. RNAcentral's name for it is "partial 16S ribosomal RNA". It matches the Rfam family "Bacterial small subunit ribosomal RNA", at positions 527 to 896 of the family's 1533-position model. The record is from RNAcentral.
GUAGGUGGCAAGCGCUGUCCGGAAUUAUUGGGCGUAAAGCGCGCGCAGGCGGUUCUUUAAGUCUGAUGUGAAAGCCCACGGCUCAACCGUGGAGGGUCAUUGGAAACUGGAGAACUUGAGUACAGAAGAGGAAAGCGGAAUUCCACGUGUAGCGGUGAAAUGCGUAGAGAUGUGGAGGAACACCAGUGGCGAAGGCGGCUUUCUGGUCUGUAACUGACGCUGAGGCGCGAAAGCGUGGGGAGCAAACAGGAUUAGAUACCCUGGUAGUCCACGCCGUAAGCGAUGAGUGCUAAGUGUUAGGGGGUUUCCGCCCCUUAGUGCUGCAGCUAACGCAUUAAGCACUCCGCCUGGGAGUACGGCCGCAAGGCUG